CAAGGACCACUAAAUGGAAGAGAUCAUGUUUCCCUGUGUACAGCCUGAUCUGGCCGUCAGUUCUGCAAGGCACCAAGUCCCUUGGUUUUGAGCAAUGGUUCAGUUCUGUGCCACUCUGGAAAAGCAGGUGGCCUUCACAGAAGCCAGGACCAUGUCAAAUUUAUUCACCCCAGUACCUAGUGGGAUGCAAGGAUGGUGGACAUUUAACUUCCUCACACACUUGGUCUGGGACCGAACCAGUGCACAGAAGUGAGAGAGUCACAUGACCUAGAAUGUUCCUGUUUCUCUUCUGGUACUCCCACCUCCAUCACAAGAAUACCCCGCAUAGUCAUGGCUCCAGA
Molecule: long non-coding RNA, 341 nt
Organism: Sciurus carolinensis (gray squirrel)
Lineage: Eukaryota; Metazoa; Chordata; Mammalia; Rodentia; Sciuridae
Exons: 3
Source: RefSeq, a predicted model, not a curated record